UACGUAGGGUGCGAGCGUUGUCCGGAAUUACUGGGUGUAAAGGGUCCGCAGGCGGAUACGUAAGUCGAUGGUGAAAUUUCCUGGCUCAACCAGGAACCUGCUGUCGAUACUAUGUAUCUUGAGUUGGAGAGAGGAUAAUGGAAUUCAUGGUGUAGCGGUGAAAUGCGUAGAGAUCAUGAAGAACACCGGUAGCGAAGGCGGUUAUCUGGCUCCAAACUGACGCUCAGGGACGAAAGCGUGGGUAGCAAACAGG
RNAcentral lists this ribosomal RNA (253 nucleotides) under uncultured prokaryote. RNAcentral describes it as "partial 16S ribosomal RNA". It matches the Rfam family "Bacterial small subunit ribosomal RNA", at positions 524 to 776 of the family's 1533-position model. The record is from RNAcentral.